This is a long non-coding RNA of Triplophysa rosa, 340 nucleotides long. RefSeq lists it as uncharacterized. NCBI's taxonomy places the organism in Eukaryota, Metazoa, Chordata, Actinopteri, Cypriniformes, Nemacheilidae. The record is from RefSeq and is a predicted model, not a curated record. The transcript is spliced from 3 exons.
CAGUAUUUCAUCUUUUCCAAACAACCGAGUAAAUUUACAGCUCAUUCAAGUGCCACUGGUCUGUUUUUGGAGAAUUUCAUCUUUAAGGUGCUGUGAGAAAGAGCCAUGUCUCCCGUGCCGCCACUGAUGAUGACAUUACAAAACACGUAAUACGGUGGUUCAACUUGGCAGCAGAUAGGGGAAACUCAAGGAGCCGUCCCACUGUCAGCACCCAACAGUAGCGUUUCGGUGUUUCACAGUUAACUUCUGUGUUUUGAAGUGUUCGUUUAACAGUUAAGUAGUAACAGUUGAGAUAAAGUUUACUACUUUAAAUAGUUUUGUUUCUAUUCAUCUUCAAAAA